RNAcentral lists this small RNA (597 nucleotides) under Histoplasma capsulatum var. duboisii H88. Its description in RNAcentral is "Histoplasma capsulatum H88 hypothetical RNA". Lineage: Eukaryota; Fungi; Ascomycota; Eurotiomycetes; Onygenales; Ajellomycetaceae. The record is from RNAcentral.
CCCGGCUGUUCGGCCCAACCCAUAACUCCGCAUCUACUGUCGUAGGUACUAAGCUUAGCUGGGGAGCCUUUUUGAGCAUGAAUCUAUCUCAUCUCUCCUUUUCCCCUCAUAGUCGCCGAGUUCCCUGUCGAGAUUCCCUAUCUGAUUUCUAAUUUCUUGAGCAAAUCUCCAAUCUUUGAUUCUUAUGAAUUGCGAUGAUUUGGAAUGGAUAUAAAUUCAUUCACUGCACCAUUUAUGUUCCUUUAUCUCAAUUCUAAUACGUCUCAGCUUCAGCCUGUUCAGCUACAGUUGACUCUUAUUUAUAGAAAAUUUGCUCACUGUUGUGAAUGAACCAAGGGUCAAAGAAAGACCUUGAGCCUUGACUCUCAAGUCCUCUCAUCAAAAGAUUAAGGCUUGACCCUCUUCAACAUCAAAGAUGAAAUGGAAUCAUAGAUACCCUUCUGAACUUUUUGUUUACUCCUAUUAUCCCUUUUCAUAGUACUCAACUGAUUUCAAUCAUCGGCCGUUGUAGCCUUAGUCUUCAGAGUAUUUGUGAAAGGGUACAUCUGAAAUUUCUCAAAAAUGAUUGAUUUAAUAUGAAUUUAAAUUAUUACCGGC